This 2417-nucleotide ribosomal RNA is filed under the name Klebsiella pneumoniae. RNAcentral describes it as "partial 23S ribosomal RNA". It matches the Rfam family "Bacterial large subunit ribosomal RNA", at positions 419 to 2823 of the family's 2925-position model. RNAcentral also lists the same sequence under 1 other name. Lineage: Bacteria; Pseudomonadati; Pseudomonadota; Gammaproteobacteria; Enterobacterales; Enterobacteriaceae. The record is from RNAcentral.
GGGACACGUGGUAUCCUGUCUGAAUAUGGGGGGACCAUCCUCCAAGGCUAAAUACUCCUGACUGACCGAUAGUGAACCAGUACCGUGAGGGAAAGGCGAAAAGAACCCCGGCGAGGGGAGUGAAAAAGAACCUGAAACCGUGUACGUACAAGCAGUGGGAGCACCUUCGGGUGUGACUGCGUACCUUUUGUAUAAUGGGUCAGCGACUUAUAUUCUGUAGCAAGGUUAACCGUAUAGGGGAGCCGCAGGGAAACCGAGUCUUAACUGGGCGUUAAGUUGCAGGGUAUAGACCCGAAACCCGGUGAUCUAGCCAUGGGCAGGUUGAAGGUUGGGUAACACUAACUGGAGGACCGAACCGACUAAUGUUGAAAAAUUAGCGGAUGACUUGUGGCUGGGGGUGAAAGGCCAAUCAAACCGGGAGAUAGCUGGUUCUCCCCGAAAGCUAUUUAGGUAGCGCCUCGUGAAUUCAUCUUCGGGGGUAGAGCACUGUUUCGGCUAGGGGGUCAUCCCGACUUACCAACCCGAUGCAAACUACGAAUACCGAAGAAUGUUAUCACGGGAGACACACGGCGGGUGCUAACGUCCGUCGUGAAGAGGGAAACAACCCAGACCGCCAGCUAAGGUCCCAAAGUCAUGGUUAAGUGGGAAACGAUGUGGGAAGGCACAGACAGCCAGGAUGUUGGCUUAGAAGCAGCCAUCAUUUAAAGAAAGCGUAAUAGCUCACUGGUCGAGUCGGCCUGCGCGGAAGAUGUAACGGGGCUAAACCAUGCACCGAAGCUGCGGCAGCGACACUAUGUGUUGUUGGGUAGGGGAGCGUUCUGUAAGCCUGCGAAGGUGUGCUGUGAGGCAUGCUGGAGGUAUCAGAAGUGCGAAUGCUGACAUAAGUAACGAUAAAGCGGGUGAAAAGCCCGCUCGCCGGAAGACCAAGGGUUCCUGUCCAACGUUAAUCGGGGCAGGGUGAGUCGACCCCUAAGGCGAGGCCGAAAGGCGUAGUCGAUGGGAAACAGGUUAAUAUUCCUGUACUUGGUGUUACUGCGAAGGGGGGACGGAGAAGGCUAUGUUAGCCGGGCGACGGUUGUCCCGGUUUAAGCAUGUAGGCUGGUUGUCCAGGCAAAUCCGGAUAAUCAAGGCUGAGGUGUGAUGACGAGGCACUACGGUGCUGAAGUAACAAAUGCCCUGCUUCCAGGAAAAGCCUCUAAGCAUCAGGUAACAUUAAAUCGUACCCCAAACCGACACAGGUGGUCAGGUAGAGAAUACCAAGGCGCUUGAGAGAACUCGGGUGAAGGAACUAGGCAAAAUGGUGCCGUAACUUCGGGAGAAGGCACGCUGGUGUGUAGGUGAAGUCCCUGCGGAUGGAGCUGAGACCAGUCGAAGAUACCAGCUGGCUGCAACUGUUUAUUAAAAACACAGCACUGUGCAAACACGAAAGUGGACGUAUACGGUGUGACGCCUGCCCGGUGCCGGAAGGUUAAUUGAUGGGGUUAUCCGUAAGGAGAAGCUCUUGAUCGAAGCCCCGGUAAACGGCGGCCGUAACUAUAACGGUCCUAAGGUAGCGAAAUUCCUUGUCGGGUAAGUUCCGACCUGCACGAAUGGCGUAAUGAUGGCCAGGCUGUCUCCACCCGAGACUCAGUGAAAUUGAACUCGCUGUGAAGAUGCAGUGUACCCGCGGCAAGACGGAAAGACCCCGUGAACCUUUACUAUAGCUUGACACUGAACAUUGAGCCUUGAUGUGUAGGAUAGGUGGGAGGCUUUGAAGCGUGGACGCCAGUCUGCGUGGAGCCAACCUUGAAAUACCACCCUUUAAUGUUUGAUGUUCUAACGUUGGCCCCUUACCGGGGUUGCGGACAGUGUCUGGUGGGUAGUUUGACUGGGGCGGUCUCCUCCCAAAGCGUAACGGAGGAGCACGAAGGUUAGCUAAUCCUGGUCGGACAUCAGGAGGUUAGUGCAAUGGCAUAAGCUAGCUUGACUGCGAGCGUGACGGCGCGAGCAGGUGCGAAAGCAGGUCAUAGUGAUCCGGUGGUUCUGAAUGGAAGGGCCAUCGCUCAACGGAUAAAAGGUACUCCGGGGAUAACAGGCUGAUACCGCCCAAGAGUUCAUAUCGACGGCGGUGUUUGGCACCUCGAUGUCGGCUCAUCACAUCCUGGGGCUGAAGUAGGUCCCAAGGGUAUGGCUGUUCGCCAUUUAAAGUGGUACGCGAGCUGGGUUUAGAACGUCGUGAGACAGUUCGGUCCCUAUCUGCCGUGGGCGCUGGAGAAUUGAGGGGGGCUGCUCCUAGUACGAGAGGACCGGAGUGGACGCAUCACUGGUGUUCGGGUUGUCAUGCCAAUGGCACUGCCCGGUAGCUAAAUGCGGAAGAGAUAAGUGCUGAAAGCAUCUAAGCACGAAACUUGCCCCGAGAUGAGUUCUCCCUGAGACUU